GUUCGCGCGCGUGAGAAAUCGCGCCGCGCUGUAGUAACCCGCCCCUCAUCCGCCUGCCGGCCCCUUCUCCCCACACGAUGGGGAAAGGUGCCGGCAGGCCGGAUGAGGGGGGCGACCGUGC
This 121-nucleotide small RNA is filed under the name Sinorhizobium meliloti 2011. RNAcentral describes it as "putative ncRNA". Lineage: Bacteria; Pseudomonadati; Pseudomonadota; Alphaproteobacteria; Hyphomicrobiales; Rhizobiaceae. The record is from RNAcentral.